GAAACACUGAUUACUGGGCGGGCUUGUAUUUUGAUAUAUAGCCCAGCUCAGGUCACGGGGAGACACGUCCUCCUAACCUUGUUUUGCUUCCGGGUGCCCAUCAGUUUGUAUGGUGGCGUGGGAUUGCAAAUUGCACUACUUGGACUAAUGCUGUUACCGAAGCACGAGUGGUUCAUUGUCGCGACAAAGCCGGUGUAGCGGUUGCUCUGACGCCGGGUGCUCGGUGGGAAUCAGCUGGAGCUCCGUCCAUGACUCGCUGCCCCUGAGUGUGCAGUCAUUGCAGCUCGGCACGUUGAGCUGAGGUUCAUCAACUACCUCCCCC
Clupea harengus (Atlantic herring) is the source of this 322-nucleotide long non-coding RNA. RefSeq lists it as uncharacterized. The record is from RefSeq and is a predicted model, not a curated record. Lineage: Eukaryota; Metazoa; Chordata; Actinopteri; Clupeiformes; Clupeidae.